Molecule: ribosomal RNA, 834 nt
Filed under: Saccharomyces cerevisiae (brewer's yeast)
Lineage: Eukaryota; Fungi; Ascomycota; Saccharomycetes; Saccharomycetales; Saccharomycetaceae
Description: partial large subunit ribosomal RNA
Rfam family: Eukaryotic large subunit ribosomal RNA
Source: RNAcentral
GGCGAGUGAAGCGGCAAAAGCUCAAAUUUUUGAAAUCUGGUACCUUCGGUGCCCGAGUUGUAAUUUGGAGAGGGCAACUUUGGGGCCGUUCCUUGUCUAUGUUCCUUGGAACAGGACGUCAUAGAGGGUGAGAAUCCCGUGUGGCGAGGAGUGCGGUUCUUUGUAAAGUGCCUUCGAAGAGUCGAGUUGUUUGGGAAUGCAGCUCUAAGUGGGUGGUAAAUUCCAUCUAAAGCUAAAUAUUGGCGAGAGACCGAUAGCGAACAAGUACAGUGAUGGAAAGAUGAAAAGAACUUUGAAAAGAGAGUGAAAAAGUACGUGAAAUUGUUGAAAGGGAAGGGCAUUUGAUCAGACAUGGUGUUUUGUGCCCUCUGCUCCUUGUGGGUAGGGGAAUCUCGCAUUUCACUGGGCCAGCAUCAGUUUUGGUGGCAGGAUAAAUCCAUAGGAAUGUAGCUUGCCUCGGUAAGUAUUAUAGCCUGUGGGAAUACUGCCAGCUGGGACUGAGGACUGCGACGUAAGUCAAGGAUGCUGGCAUAAUGGUUAUAUGCCGCCCGUCUUGAAACACGGACCAAGGAGUCUAACGUCUAUGCGAGUGUUUGGGUGUAAAACCCAUACGCGUAAUGAAAGUGAACGUAGGUUGGGGCCUCGCAAGAGGUGCACAAUCGACCGAUCCUGAUGUCUUCGGAUGGAUUUGAGUAAGAGCAUAGCUGUUGGGACCCGAAAGAUGGUGAACUAUGCCUGAAUAGGGUGAAGCCAGAGGAAACUCUGGUGGAGGCUCGUAUCGGUUCUGACGUGCAAAUCGAUCGUCCAAUUUGAGUAUAGGGGCGAAAGACUAAU